AACCUAGCACACCUGCGGUGUGUACCUGCGGAAGGAUCAUUACCGAGUUAGGGUCUCUCCAGGCCCGACCUCCGACCCCUUGUUUACUUAUACCAUGUUGCUUUGGUGGGCCCGCCUUGAUGGCCACCGGGGACUUUUUAGAUCUCUGGUCAGUGUCCGCCAGUAGCCUUCUUAAAAAUUCUUUUUAUAACUAUGUUGUCUGAGUAUAACAAAUAAAUUGUUUAAAACUUUCAACAACGG
RNAcentral lists this unclassified non-coding RNA (240 nucleotides) under soil metagenome. Its description in RNAcentral is "partial contains 5.8S ribosomal RNA, internal transcribed spacer 2, and large subunit ribosomal RNA". The record is from RNAcentral.